CCGAGUUUUCAACUCCCAAACCCCUGUGAACAUACCUCGACGUUGCUUCGGCGGGACCGCCCCGGCCCACGCGGACCGGAACCAGGCGCCCGCCGGAGGACCACAAACUCUUGUUUCCUAAUAGCGGCAAUACUCUGAGUCUCAAAACAAAAUAAAUCA
This 159-nucleotide unclassified non-coding RNA is filed under the name uncultured Tolypocladium. RNAcentral describes it as "sequence contains ITS1". The record is from RNAcentral. Lineage: Eukaryota; Fungi; Ascomycota; Sordariomycetes; Hypocreales; Clavicipitaceae.